RNAcentral lists this ribosomal RNA (252 nucleotides) under uncultured bacterium. Its description in RNAcentral is "partial 16S ribosomal RNA". It matches the Rfam family "Bacterial small subunit ribosomal RNA", at positions 524 to 776 of the family's 1533-position model. The record is from RNAcentral.
UACGGAGGGUGCGAGCGUUAUCCGGAAUUAUUGGGUUUAAAGGGUCUGUAGGCGGCUUUAUAAGUCAGUGGUCAAAGGCAUCGGCUUAACCGGUGUACGCCAUCGAAACUGUAGAGCUUGAAUUACUUUGGCGCAAGGGGAAUGUGUGGUGUAGCGGUGAAAUGCAUAGAUAUCACACAGAACACCGAUAGCGAAGGCACCUUGCGAGGAGCUAAUUGACGCUGAUAGACGAAAGCGUGGGUAGCGAACAGG